This 492-nucleotide ribosomal RNA is filed under the name uncultured bacterium. RNAcentral's name for it is "partial 16S ribosomal RNA". It matches the Rfam family "Bacterial small subunit ribosomal RNA", at positions 29 to 507 of the family's 1533-position model. The record is from RNAcentral.
AGUGAACGCUGGCGGUAGGCCUAACACAUGCAAGUCGAACGGCAGCACAGUAAGAGCUUGCUCUUACGGGUGGCGAGUGGCGGACGGGUGAGGAAUACAUCGGAAUCUACUUUUUCGUGGGGGAUAACGUAGGGAAACUUACGCUAAUACCGCAUACGAUCUACGGGUGAAAGCAGGGGAUCUUCGGACCUUGCGCGAUUGAAUGAGCCGAUGUCGGAUUAGCUAGUUGGCGGGGUAAAGGCCCACCAAGGCGACGAUCCGUAGCUGGUCUGAGAGGAUGAUCAGCCACACUGGAACUGAGACACGGUCCAGACUCCUACGGGAGGCAGCAGUGGGGAAUAUUAGACAAUGGGCGCAAGCCUGAUCCAGCCAUACCGCGUGGGUGAAGAAGGCCUUCGGGUUGUAAAGCCCUUUUGUUGGGAAAGAAAAGCAGCAGGUUAAUACCCCGCUGUUCUGACGGUACCCAAAGAAUAAGCACCGGCUAACUUCGUG